UGCGUAGGCGGUUAUGUGUGUCAGAUGUGAAAGCCCAUGGCUCAACCAUGGAACUGCAUUUGAAACUGCAUAACUUGAGUAUCGGAGAGGUAGAUGGAAUUCUAGGUGUAGCGGUGAAAUGCGUAGAUAUCUAGAAGAACACCAGCGGCGAAAGCGAUCUACUGGACGAAUACUGACGCUGAGGCACGAAAGCCAGGGGAGCGAAGA
This 207-nucleotide ribosomal RNA is filed under the name uncultured bacterium. Its description in RNAcentral is "partial 16S ribosomal RNA". It matches the Rfam family "Bacterial small subunit ribosomal RNA", at positions 568 to 774 of the family's 1533-position model. The record is from RNAcentral.